CUUACAUCCAAGGGACUCUCUAGAGUCUUCUCCAGCACCAUAAUUCAAAUGCAUCAAUUCUUCAGCACUGAGCCUUCUUUAUGGUCCAGCUCUCACAUUUGUAUAUGACUACUUAUCUAUCCUCAAACAAAACCAUAGUACCCAUGCUGUUCAAAAAACCUCUUUUGUCAAUAAACAAUGGACCUUAAUAUCUUCCUGGUCUCUUCAAGCACAUCUGUCUUAUCCAUUUCAGCGUCUGCCUGGGAUUUUCAAUAUGGUGGUAGAAGGAUAUAUUCUCGAUAAUACUGGAAAAUGUUCUUGAUGAAAGAACAGUGCACAGUGACUUUGACAUCGCUUUCCAAUGCAAAGCUGAACAGAGGGUUGGUGCUCUGGGCCAGCGGGGUCCCAGGACCAAGUCACUGGGUGUGCCUGCUCCUUCCACUGUUAAACUCUUCCAGGCAUUGCACAAAUAAAAGAGUUCACAGAACAGGUUCCUGUACUGAGAAUGUUUGGAAAAUUUUAUGGACUUUUUGGGAAGGCAUUUUAGCAUGCUUUUCUU
Molecule: long non-coding RNA, 538 nt
Filed under: Capra hircus (goat)
Lineage: Eukaryota; Metazoa; Chordata; Mammalia; Artiodactyla; Bovidae
Description: lncRNA (ENSCHIG00000008091.1)
Source: RNAcentral